AGUGAACGCUGGCGGUAGGCCUAACACAUGCAAGUCGAACGGCAGCACAGUAAGAGCUUGCUCUUACGGGUGGCGAGUGGCGGACGGGUGAGGAAUACAUCGGAAUCUACUUUUUCGUGGGGGAUAACGUAGGGAAACUUACGCUAAUACCGCAUACGACCUACGGGUGAAAGCAGGGGAUCUUCGGACCUUGCGCGAUUGAAUGAGCCGAUGUCGGAUUAGCUAGUUGGCGGGGUAAAGGCCCACCAAGGCGACGAUCCGUAGCUGGUCUGGGAGGAUGAUCAGCCACACUGGAACUGAGACACGGUCCAGACUCCUACGGGAGGCAGCAGUGGGGAAUAUUGGACAAUGGGCGCAAGCCUGAUCCAGCCAUACCGCGUGGGUGCAGAAGGCCUUCGGGUUGUAAAGCCCUUUUGUUGGGAAAGAAAAGCAGCAGGUUAAUACCCCGCUGUUCUGACGGUACCCAAAGAAUAAGCACCGGCUAACUUCGUG
Molecule: ribosomal RNA, 492 nt
Filed under: uncultured bacterium
Lineage: Bacteria
Description: partial 16S ribosomal RNA
Rfam family: Bacterial small subunit ribosomal RNA
Source: RNAcentral